RNAcentral lists this ribosomal RNA (301 nucleotides) under uncultured bacterium. RNAcentral describes it as "partial 16S ribosomal RNA". It matches the Rfam family "Bacterial small subunit ribosomal RNA", at positions 509 to 807 of the family's 1533-position model. The record is from RNAcentral.
CAGCCGCCGCGGGAAUACGAAGGGGGCUAGCGUUGCUCGGAAUGACUGGGCGUAAAGGGCGCGUAGGCGGUCACGAUAGUCAGAUGUGAAAUUCCUGGGCUUAACCUGGGGACUGCAUUUGAUACUGUGUGGCUUGAGUGUGGAAGAGGGUCGUGGAAUUCCCAGUGUAGAGGUGAAAUUCGUAGAUAUUGGGAAGAACACCGGUGGCGAAGGCGGCGACCUGGUCCAUAACUGACGCUGAGGCGCGAAAGCGUGGGGAGCAAACAGGAUUAGAUACCCCUGUAGUCCCUGUCUCUUAUAC